UCACAGGCUUUACUAGAAGCCAUAGAAGUGGAAUAAGGAGGUGAAA
Egretta garzetta (little egret) is the source of this 46-nucleotide non-coding RNA. NCBI's taxonomy places the organism in Eukaryota, Metazoa, Chordata, Aves, Pelecaniformes, Ardeidae. The record is from Rfam.